This is a non-coding RNA of Triticum urartu, 3294 nucleotides long. The record is from RefSeq and is a predicted model, not a curated record. NCBI's taxonomy places the organism in Eukaryota, Viridiplantae, Streptophyta, Magnoliopsida, Poales, Poaceae.
UCCCUCGCACAACCUUCCUCGUUCUCAGUUUAUUAGCUUCCUCAAUCCCCUCGCACAGCCGCCGCCGCCGACCCUCCCCUCGACCGUGGCGACGCUGGCGUCCCUCCUGUCGGUCGUGCCGCCGUCGCCUCAGACCGUCGCACAGCCGCAACCCCCUAUACUUUUUCUCGCCCCUUCCCUAAUCCAGUUCCCGUCCAAAGCCGCCGCCGCAAACUAGGGAUCCCGCCGGACCUCGCCGCCGCCACAAUCAAGGGAUCACGCCGGACCUCGCCGCCGCUGCAAUCAAGGGAUCCCGCCGGACUGCCGCCAGGUUUCUGGCCCGCCGCCAGGAGCCGCAGGAACUGCAAGCCAUCAGGUGCGGCGCGCCGAGCCCGCUGAAGCCUCCUCUGCCCCACCGCCCCCUGCAGCGCAUCCCUCCGUCGAGCAUCCGGUCAUACCGAGCAACGCCGCGGACCAGUCCGUAGGCAGGAUCUAUCUGGCUGACCUCAUUUGAGAUGCGGCUUAAGUAUUCCCACUGCGCGGGUUUGCACAUAUGAUACAUAGUUGGUUGAGCACAUCUUCUAGCCUCUUGUGAAUACAUCUGGGACAACGCUUCACAUCAGUCAAGAACUGCUAACCGUUGCGGCACGCCGAGCCGGCCGACAUCUCCCUGCCCCACCGCUCACUGCAGCGCCUCCCUCCGCCAAGCAGCCGGCGACGCCGAGCAACGCUGGCGAGCACUCCGUGGACAGGAAGAUAUGGCCAAUAUAAGUGCUGAGUGUAUGGCUGAGUACGACGACAUUGUCAGCAGGAUGUUUGAUAGCGAGGAAGAGGGUUUUGAGUUCUAUAACAAGUAUGCUCUUGAGAAAGGAUUUAGUGUGAGGAAAGGAUAUGUUGAGUGGGAUGAAGCGAACGAGAAGAUAAUUCUGAGGAAACUUGUCUGUAGUCGUGAAGGUUGCCGUGAAGAGAAGCACAUGAAGAGGAAGAGAGAAGAUAGGAAGAGGAAGCCACGGAAUAUCACUCGUGUAGGGUGUAAAGCGAAAUUUGUCAUUGCAAGAGUCGCGAAAACAGGGCGUUGGUUUGUGAAGGAUUUCAUCGAUGAACACAACCAUCCUUUGGCCCCAUGAGACCUUGCUUGCUUUUUGCGUUCCCACAGAAGAAUCAGUGACGAGCAGAAAGCGGACAUUAUAGAGAUGCAAAGUGUUGGAAUCCGGAAACACAAAAUCAUGGAUGUGUUGUGCAUGCAGUCCGGUGGAUAUGACCAUGUUGGAUGCAUGCUGAGGGACAUCUAUAACUUCUGUCAUCGCUACAAGCAGGAAACAGUCGCUGCCGGUGAUGCUCAGACGGUGAUCCGUCACAUGAUGGCGCGGCAAGAGAGAGACCCGGAUUAUUUCUUCAAAUACUUGGUUGAUAAAGAUGGGCAUCUGAAGGGAUUGUUCUGGUCCGAUACUCAAUCCCGCCUUGACUAUGAGGCUUUCGGCGAUGUUGUGGUUUUUGAUAGCACAUACAGGACCAAUAAGUACAAUCUGCCAUUUGUUCCAUUUGUCGGGUUGAAUCACCACCGUAGCACAGUUAUCUUUGGAUGCGGGAUAAUUUCUCAUGAAACUAACGAGGCGUAUGAGUGGAUGUUGCGGACAUUUUCUGAAGCCAUGUCGCAGAAGCAUCCGAUAUCUGUAAUCACUGACGGGGACCUUGCAAUGCAAAGAGCGAUCAGGGUGGUGUGGCCUGACUCAUACCACAGGCUGUGCGUAUGGCACAUUCAGCAGAACAUCGUACGCCAUCUGCAUGAUGAUGAGGUUAGGGAAGAAUUCAGAUCUUUCAUAUAUGACUUGUCUUCUAUUGAAGAGCAUGAGAGAAAAUGGAUAGAGUUCUUACGAAGGAAUGAAGUGACAAGUGAGGAGUCAUGGUUGCAUCAGAUGUAUCAGAUGAGGAAGUUGUGGUGUGCUCCAUACCUGGUGGGGCGCUGUUUCUUAGGAUUGAGCAGCAAUCAGCGGAGUGAGAGCCUAAAAUCCGUGCUACAUACACAUCUUGAGGGUAAGAUGACCUUGUUUGAUAUUUUAGAGCACCAUGAGCGUUGCCUUUCGGGGCGACGCUUGCACGAGGCGAUCCUAGACAUCGUGGCCUUGCAGUCCAUUCCAUUUACAGACGCUGAUGCUUCAAGUCUCGAGAAACAUGUUGCCCAGGUUUUCACGCCUUGUAUGUUUCAGUUGGUCAGAUGGAGCAUAAAUGCUGUCAGCAAAUGUGUUAUCAGCGAGAUACUAGAUGCAUGGGAGUUGACUACAUAUGUUGUGGCUAAGAUCGAUAAAAGAGAGAAGAAGUUUGAAGUGCGCUGUGAGAUGAAGGAAGGUUCUUUGUAUAGGAUAAGUUGUUCUUGUCGUAAGCUGGAAUGCUUGGGAACACCAUGCUCUCACAUAUUCUACAUCUUGGGAAUACGUCAAGUGGAAGUGCUGCCUAGGUGUUGUGUUCCCAUGAGGUGGACGAUGAGUGCGAAGUCUGCAUUCCCUCCGACCAGAAAGAGUGAGAUGUACGACUAUUCGGCAAGCCUUGUGAGGUACCGUGAGUUGCGGAAUUUGAGUCACGCAGCAUGUUUCCGGGCAUGUCAAUCUAGUGAGGAGUCUCAGCGUCUGAAGAUGAUUCUGAGUGAACAAGAUGGCAGCAAGGAAUCAAGCCGUGGUCAGGAGGAAUGCAUUAGGUUUGGUCCGGUGCUACCACAGACGACGGAAAUUGAUUGUGGAGAUUUGGAAAAGGUUCUAGACCCAGUGCAUGUGCAAGGCCGAGGUGCACCGAAGAAAAGGUUGCAGGCAAAGAUGAAGAAGCAAAGGUCAAAGAGGAAAUGUGGCUACUGUGGGGUGGAAGGUCAUGAUCGGCGUACAUGCAAUAAAUUGAAAGAGGAAAUGAUGGCAGCAAACUGUUAGCUACAACUCUCUGUACAAGGCCAUUGGCAAAAUGGACGUAGCUGCUGAGCCUCAAGAGAGUGAUGUUGUGUUGGUGGCGAAGUGGCCCAACCGCCUCUAUCCUAUGGUUGCCAUGUGAAGAAAAAGGAUAUGUGGGAGCUUUUGGAUGGAUAAAGGCUCCAGCAAGGAAGAGAAGAGAGCUGCAUUUCCUUACUUGCAAUUCUAGUAAUUAUCUUUGUUAUAACUUGUAGAGUGUACCCGCAAAAAAACUUGUAGAGUGUGAUGGAUUAAUUGGGAUGCUACGUAAUCAGAGUACGUACACUAUCAUAUGUAUCAUGACUGAUUACGACCAAGGUGUGCGUUCCAUGAACAAGACUCCCAUUUAUAUGUUUAUUAAUGAUAUUGUGUUGUGCUUGCUCUA